AUGAGGAAAAGGCAUAUCAUUAAACCCCUUGGGUGUGUCUUUUGCUCUGAUCAUGAAACCAACUCUCACCUGUUUUUUGAGUGUAUUAUAGCAAAAAAUGUCUGGUCAUUUGUAGCUGACCACUUCAAGGUCGAGGUAGGGACUGAAUUUGAAUCGAUAGCAUAAUUCUGGAUCUCUAACAGGAGGAAUUCUGCCUUAAAUAUAGUUUCUUCAGCAGUCUUAUGGUGUUUGUGGAAGUAUAGGAACUCUAUCAUCUUUAACAACACCAUUUGGACAUCUAUUUCACAGGUUUGGAGGAUGAUCCUCAGAACACUCAAGUUCUUGGCGGUCUUGGCUCCGGAAAGUGGCAGGGCACGUCUGGAGGAUUUCUUGACAGCACUAACAACGUUCUCCCAGCAGCCGCUGAGGAUGACGAGUGGCUGA
RNAcentral lists this ribosomal RNA (423 nucleotides) under Triticum aestivum (bread wheat). RNAcentral describes it as "partial small subunit ribosomal RNA". Lineage: Eukaryota; Viridiplantae; Streptophyta; Magnoliopsida; Poales; Poaceae. The record is from RNAcentral.